CCUACGGGAGGCAGCAGUGGGGAAUAUUGCACAAUGGAGGAAACCCUGAUGCAGCGACGCCGCGUGAGUGAAGAAGGAUUUCGGUAUGGAAAGCUCUAUCAGCAGGGAAGAAGAAAGACGGUACCUGACUAAGCAGCACCGGCGACCCACGUGCGAGCAGCCGAGGUAAUACGGAGGGGGCAAGCUUUAUCCGGAGUUACUGGGGGUAAAGGGAGCGUAGACGGCUGUGCAAGUCUGAGGUGACUGCCCAGGGCUCAACCCGGGGACUGCUUUGGAAACUGUGGAGCUAGAGUGCUGGAGAGGUAAGUGGAAUUCCUAGUGUAGCGGUGAAAUGCGUAGAUAUCAGGCGGAACACCAGUGGCGCAGGCGGCUUACUGGACAGCAACUGACGUUGAGGCUCGAACGCGUGGGGAGCAAACAGGAUUAGAUACCCCAGUAGUC
This 441-nucleotide ribosomal RNA is filed under the name uncultured bacterium. RNAcentral's name for it is "partial 16S ribosomal RNA". It matches the Rfam family "Bacterial small subunit ribosomal RNA", at positions 338 to 795 of the family's 1533-position model. The record is from RNAcentral.